Molecule: ribosomal RNA, 429 nt
Filed under: bacterium
Lineage: Bacteria
Description: partial 16S ribosomal RNA
Rfam family: Bacterial small subunit ribosomal RNA
Source: RNAcentral
UAGGGAAUCUUCGGCAAUGGGGGCAACCCUGACCGAGCAACGCCGCGUGAGUGAAGAAGGUUUUCGGAUCGUAAAGCUCUGUUGUAAGAGAAGAACGUGUGUGAGAGUGGAAAGUUCACACAGUGACGGUAACUUAUCAGAAAGGGACGGCUAACUACGUGCCAGCAGCCGCGGUAAUACGUAGGUCCCGAGCGUUGUCCGGAUUUAUUGGGCGUAAAGCGAGCGCAGGCGGUUUAAUAAGUCUGAAGUUAAAGGCAGUGGCUUAACCAUUGUUCGCUUUGGAAACUGUUAAACUUGAGUGCAGAAGGGGAGAGUGGAAUUCCAUGUGUAGCGGUGAAAUGCGUAGAUAUAUGGAGGAACACCGGUGGCGAAAGCGGCUCUCUGGUCUGUAACUGACGCUGAGGCUCGAAAGCGUGGGGAGCAAACAGG